GCAAGUCGAACGGCAGCACGGACUUCGGUCUGGUGGCGAGUGGCGAACCGUUGAGUAAUAUAUCGGAACAUACCCUAGAGUGGGGGAUAACGUAGCGAAAGUUACGCUAAUACCGCAUACGCACUAAGGUGGAAAGUGGGGGAUCGCAAGACCUCAUGCUCAUGGAGUGGCCGAUAUCUGAUUAGCUAGUUGGUGAGGUAAAGGCUCACCAAGGCGACGAUCAGUAGCUGGUUUGAGAGAACGACCAGCCACACUGGAACUGAGACACGGUCCAGACUCCUACGGGAGGCAGCAGUGGGGAAUUUUGGACAAUGGGCGCAAGCCUGAUCCAGCAAUGCCGCGUGAGUGAAGAAGGCCUUCGGGUUGUAAAGCUCUUUUGUCAGGGAAGAAACGGUAUCUCCUAAUACGGGGUGCUAAUGACGGUACCUGAAGAAUAAGCACCGGCUAACUACGUGCCAGCAGCCGCGGUAAUACGUAGGGUGCAAGCGUUAAUCGGAAUUACUGGGCGUAAAGCGUGCGCAGGCGGUUAUAUAAGUCAGAUGUGAAAUCCCCGGGCUCAACCUGGGAACUGCAUUUGAGACUGUAUGGCUAGAGUGUGUCAGAGGGGGGUAGAAUUCCACGUGUAGCAGUGAAAUGCGUAGAUAUGUGGAGGAAUACCGAUGGCGAAGGCAGCCCCCUGGGAUAACACUGACGCUCAUGCACGAAAGCGUGGGGAGCAAACAGGAUUAGAUACCCUGGUAGUCCACGCCCUAAACGAUGUCUACUAGUUGUCGGGACUUAAUUGUCUUGGUAACGAAGCUAACGCGUUAAGUUCGCCGCCUGGGGAGUACGGUCGCAAGACUGAAACUCAAAGGAAUUGACGGGGGCCCGCACAAGCGGUGGAGUAUGUGGUUUAAUUCGA
Molecule: ribosomal RNA, 901 nt
Filed under: uncultured Oxalobacteraceae bacterium
Lineage: Bacteria; Pseudomonadati; Pseudomonadota; Betaproteobacteria; Burkholderiales; Oxalobacteraceae
Description: bacterial SSU rRNA
Rfam family: Bacterial small subunit ribosomal RNA
Source: RNAcentral